Molecule: ribosomal RNA, 179 nt
Filed under: uncultured Arthrobacter sp.
Lineage: Bacteria; Bacillati; Actinomycetota; Actinomycetes; Micrococcales; Micrococcaceae
Description: partial 16S ribosomal RNA
Rfam family: Bacterial small subunit ribosomal RNA
Source: RNAcentral
GCUAUCUACGGGGGGCAGCAGUGGGGAAUAUUGCACAAUGGGCGAAAGCCUGAUGCAGCGACGCCGCGUGAGGGAUGACGGCCUUCGGGUUGUAAACCUCUUUCAGUAGGGAAGAAGCGAAAGUGACGGUACCUGCAGAAGAAGCGCCGGCUAACUACGUGCCAGCAGCCGCGGUAAUA